This 272-nucleotide long non-coding RNA is filed under the name Vitis vinifera (wine grape). RNAcentral's name for it is "long non-coding RNA (VVIN_LNC001958)". Lineage: Eukaryota; Viridiplantae; Streptophyta; Magnoliopsida; Vitales; Vitaceae. The record is from RNAcentral.
UUCUCAGAAUUAGUUGUUGCACCUAUUUCCUUUAGAUCCAUAGUUGUGACUCUGUGCUCCACGAUAUCGUCAUGCCUAUGCCACAUUAUGAUCUCACCACCCUGUGAUGCCAUCGCCAAAGCAUGAUCUCUCUCCCACUGUCUUCUCCACCUACUGGCAACUGCAUGCUGCUUGCAGUCCAUCAGGGCUUUCAUCACCACCACUCUGCAUGCCUUACAAUCAUCACCAUGGCUACUGAUUCACCUUACUACCACCCCUUUCUUUCAUUCUAG